UUCCGUAGGUAAACCUGCGGAAGGAUCAUUAA
RNAcentral lists this ribosomal RNA (32 nucleotides) under Paracoccidioides brasiliensis. Its description in RNAcentral is "partial 18S ribosomal RNA". Lineage: Eukaryota; Fungi; Ascomycota; Eurotiomycetes; Onygenales; Ajellomycetaceae. The record is from RNAcentral.